AUUGAACGCUGGCGGCAUGCCUUACACAUGCAAGUCGAACGGCAGCAUGGAAGAGCUUGCUCUUCUGAUGGCGAGUGGCGAACGGGUGAGUAAAGCAUCGGAACGUACCGUGUAGUGGGGGAUAACGUAGCGAAAGUUACGCUAAUACCGCAUACGCACUGAGGUGGAAAGCAGGGGAUCGCAAGACCUUGCGCUAUACGAGCGGCCGAUGUCAGAUUAGCUAGUUGGUAGGGUAAAGGCCUACCAAGGCGACGAUCUGUAGCGGGUCUGAGAGGAUGAUCCGCCACACUGGGACUGAGACACGGCCCAGACGCCUACGGGAGGCAGCAGUGGGAAAUUUUGGACAAUGGGGGAAACCCUGAUCCAGCCAUGCCGCGUGAGUGAAGAAGGCCUUCGGGUUGUAAAGCGCUUUCGGCUGGGAAGAAAUCGCACAGGCUAAUACUCUGUGUGGAUGACGGUACCAGCAUAAGAAGCACCGGCUAACUACGUGCCAGCCGCCGCAGUAA
This 506-nucleotide ribosomal RNA is filed under the name uncultured bacterium. RNAcentral's name for it is "partial 16S ribosomal RNA". It matches the Rfam family "Bacterial small subunit ribosomal RNA", at positions 30 to 523 of the family's 1533-position model. The record is from RNAcentral.